This 404-nucleotide ribosomal RNA is filed under the name Fusobacteriota bacterium. RNAcentral's name for it is "Fusobacteria bacterium partial 16S ribosomal RNA". It matches the Rfam family "Bacterial small subunit ribosomal RNA", at positions 355 to 776 of the family's 1533-position model. Lineage: Bacteria; Fusobacteriati; Fusobacteriota. The record is from RNAcentral.
UGGGGAAUAUUGCACAAUGGAGGGAACUCUGAUGCAGCGACGCCGCGUGAGUGAUGAAGGAAUUCGUUUCGUAAAACUCUGUUCUAUGGGAAGAAAAGGACUGUACCAUAGGAGAAAGCUCCGGCUAAAUACGUGCCAGCAGCCGCGGUAAUACGUAUGGAGCGAGCGUUGUCCGGAAUUAUUGGGCGUAAAGGGUGCGCAGGCGGCUUUACAAGUUGGAUGUGAAAUAUUGUGGCUCAACCACAAACGUGCAUCCAAAACUGCAAAGCUUGAGUUAAGGAGAGGUAAGUGGAAUUCCUGGUGUAGCGGUGGAAUGCGUAGAUAUCAGGAGGAAUACCGGUGGCGAAGGCGACUUACUGGAAUUAAGCUGACGCUCAGGCACGAAAGCGUGGGGAGCAAGCAGG